Molecule: ribosomal RNA, 402 nt
Filed under: uncultured bacterium
Lineage: Bacteria
Description: bacterial SSU rRNA
Rfam family: Bacterial small subunit ribosomal RNA
Source: RNAcentral
UGGGGAAUAUUGGACAAUGGGGGAAACCCUGAUCCAGCAAUGCCGCGUGAGUGAAGAAGGCCUUAGGGUUGUAAAGCUCUUUCGCCCGCGAAGAUAAUGACGGUAGCGGGAGAAGAAGCCCCGGCUAACUUCGUGCCAGCAGCCGCGGUAAUACGAAGGGGGCUAGCGUUGUUCGGAAUUACUGGGCGUAAAGCGCACGUAGGCGGACAUUUAAGUCAGGGGUGAAAUCCCAGGGCUCAACCCUGGAACUGCCUUUGAUACUGGGUGUCUUGAGUACGAGAGAGGUGAGUGGAAUUCCGAGUGUAGAGGUGAAAUUCGUAGAUAUUCGGAAGAACACCAGUGGCGAAGGCGGCUCACUGGCUCGUAACUGACGCUGAGGUGCGAAAGCGUGGGGAGCAAACA